CUUCCAGAGUAAAGUGUGUGUGUGUGUACUGUAUGCGACACCAAGAAGGGAGAAGGAGAGUUGAUUUUUAUCUCUAAAAAAUUAUGGAAAUCUUGAUGAAAAAGACAUUAGUAGCAAUGCCCACUUGAUUGUUAAAUCUCCAGGAACACAAGUGAUUAAGAUUGAAGAUAAGAAAGGGGCACCGCUAUCAUCGUCUUUAAUUGACAAAGGUAACGCUCACAUGUAAUAGCUUUGGAAUGAAGAUCUCAGAAUUGAAAGAAUGGAUCCAAGUUUUUGUAAAAUCAUAAAUUUCAUGUUAUUUUGGUACUCAUGGUCUUUAUAAUUAGGAAAUCAAUGUUUUUAUACUUUUGUAAAGGUUCAAUCUACCUUCUACAUUUGAUGAAAACGUGUUGUAAUAUUUUAAGAUUUGUGAACCUUUUUA
Long non-coding RNA from Helianthus annuus (common sunflower), 421 nucleotides. RefSeq lists it as uncharacterized. NCBI's taxonomy places the organism in Eukaryota, Viridiplantae, Streptophyta, Magnoliopsida, Asterales, Asteraceae. The transcript is spliced from 3 exons. The record is from RefSeq and is a predicted model, not a curated record.